CUGAUAGACUAACUGUUAGAGCACAUUUAGAAACUGUUUUUCUGUUACAGUGUGAUCCUGGUGUUUGUGGACCAGCUCUGCUAUUUCCCUUGGUGACUGUGUUUGGCUACCCAAUGCCUGACAGUGAUGAGCAGGACCACAUCACGAAGUCUCUAGUUCAGACUACAACAACAGUAGUUUUCUCCUUUUCUAGAGAUUUCUCGUGCUUCUGUUUUGCUUAGGCCUGUUCUGUAGUAUUUCAGAUUAAGUUGUGAAUUUUAUAGCAUUAACCAUACGAGUGAUCUUUAUUUUGUUUUAUUGUCUUUCUUUAGAGUUAUUAAGUUGUUUCUGUUUUUUUCUCUUUUAGGGAUAUUUGUUGGGAGGCUGGGCACCUUUGCUGAAGUCCCUCCUCACGUUUAUGCAGGUGAAUGAAAGCACUGGGAGUAUAAGAGACACUAUUUUGGUCCGUUGUGAGAUUUGAAACAGGGAUUGCAGUGAGAUGCAUCAGAUCAAUAGUUUGUAGCACCUCUGGACACUCCUCAGUGUAGACUGCCUCCCCAAAUGGCCCCCAGUUGUAUUGAUUUUCUAGCUACACAGUAGAGCUGCUGUUUUUAACUAUGUAGUGUUUGUAGCUGUUAUUUUUUUUUUGUUAUAACCAAGUUUAAUUUAACCAUCAUUUAAAUUUUCUUUUGUUGCAGAGCCGAUCUUAUACUUUAUUUGUCAAAUAAAAUAUAUAAAUGGGCAUCCAUCAUGCCUCUACCCAUGCUUUUGCAACCAACUGGUAAUGUAAUCAAGGUUUACUAGUUUAAUAUUGUCAGGGUGUAAUUUCACUGACUGUGUUGCUGGUUUUCUUCCAUCCAUCCAUCUUCUCAACCCUUCGUCCUUCAGGCUCGCUGGGGGAGUCUAUCCCAGCUGUCAUAGACAGGUUGCUAGUAAGGGCUUCAUCAGUCCUUCAGCAAUGAUUUUUAGCCCUAAAUUCAACCAUUAUAUUGAGUGUUUAUUAAAUUGUUGUACUGAUACUUUAAAGUAAAUUUGUAAAAAAAUCUGAGCAACAAAUUGUUUCAUCACAGGCACAUUUUCACCUUCAAGACCGAGGAGAC
Astatotilapia calliptera (eastern happy) is the source of this 1079-nucleotide long non-coding RNA. Lineage: Eukaryota; Metazoa; Chordata; Actinopteri; Cichliformes; Cichlidae. The record is from Ensembl.